This 253-nucleotide ribosomal RNA is filed under the name uncultured bacterium. RNAcentral describes it as "partial 16S ribosomal RNA". It matches the Rfam family "Bacterial small subunit ribosomal RNA", at positions 524 to 776 of the family's 1533-position model. The record is from RNAcentral.
UACGAACCGUACAAACGUUAUUCGGAAUCACUGGGCGUAAAGGGUGCGUAGGCGGGUCUUUAAGUCAGGGGUGAAAUCCUGGAGCUCAACUCCAGAACUGCCUUUGAUACUGAAGAUCUUGAGUUCGGGAGAGGUGAGUGGAACUGCGAGUGUAGAGGUGAAAUUCGUAGAUAUUCGCAAGAACACCAGUGGCGAAGGCGGCUCACUGGCCCGAUACUGACGCUGAGGCACGAAAGCGUGGGGAGCAAACAGG